Molecule: long non-coding RNA, 1245 nt
Organism: Oreochromis aureus
Lineage: Eukaryota; Metazoa; Chordata; Actinopteri; Cichliformes; Cichlidae
Source: Ensembl
ACUCACAAAGACGCAAUAGCUUCCUUUAAAUGUGUCUAUUGUGCCCACAGCAGGGGCUGAUGGGAGCUUUGAGGACCUGUUAGAAACCACGUGGCCCUCGUCUGAUCUCACAGCUCGUCCUUGUUUGGCCUCAGCUGCAUCAGAGCGCCACUUCUCCCCAGGUUCACCAGAGGAAACACCACUGCACAAAAUGCUUUUCCUCCCAGCUGCUGCUCUGUGCUGUCUGUGUUCAGCGCUGGUUACCAUGGCAGCACAGCUGUUUCAGGAUGAUCCAGAACUGACCAAGAGAGUUGGAGAAAGUGUCUCCAUCGACUGUGAUGGGACUAACCAGUGUACCAGUCUGAGUCGGGUAAAUUGGUACCAGAAGAAAGAAACAGGAACAUUCAAAGAUUUUCAAACUGCAUCUACACUCAACAUAAAGAACGUCGGACUUGAGCAUUCAGCCACCUACUACUGCUACUGUUGGGUUUCUCAUGCCCACAGAAACACAUGGAGCCACCUGAUCUUUGGCUCUGGAACUAAACUGUCUGUAACAGAUGGAAACCAGAAAAGAACGACACAGGCACCGAGAGUUCAUGCAAACACACAGCAGAGCCCCACCCGACCAGCAGCAGGACCCAGAGUCCACGUGGAUGUGAACAGCUCCCUGCUGUGUGUGCCCCCAGCCAUGUUUCCUCCUCUGGUCCAGCUGUCAUGUAAAAGACAGAAGAAGAACGGCCGGCUGGAGGAGCUGGAGCUCAGAGAGUCAGGACGCAACGCCUCCAUCGUACUGAUCCAUCAGAACAGCACAUAUAAAUGUAACUGCUACGUGAAGCACGAGGGGGGCACAGUGGAGGCCCAAACACAACAAGAGGUUCCAGCUCCAGCAGCCUCCUGUCCUCCAGAGAGAGAGCCAGCAGACCUGCCAGCUCUGCAGCCAGCUGACUGUAAGAUCACCUGCUGCCUCUCUGCAUGGACAGCUCCAAUGUCCAAUGAGGGAGCUGGAACAAGUUUAGGGACUCAGUCUUAAAGUGUCACUAAUUGAUCAAAUCUUCAUCCAACAAGCUCUGAUAAAGCCACUGUACACUAGCUGCUCAGCACCAAACAGCAGACAGACCAUAAUAUGUCAGAGAUCAGUUUGUUAGCUGCUUGUGGAGUUCUUCUGCCCCCAAGUGGACACAAACACUACAUCAAUUCAUCCACUUGAAGAAGAAGCUGUGACUGUUUCUAUUUGGACUUUUUCUCCUUGAUCUGAGAGGAAUAACC